Phyllopteryx taeniolatus (common seadragon) is the source of this 2682-nucleotide RNA transcript. It is a transcript of the gene named N-alpha-acetyltransferase 38, NatC auxiliary subunit, with no coding region annotated. NCBI's taxonomy places the organism in Eukaryota, Metazoa, Chordata, Actinopteri, Syngnathiformes, Syngnathidae. The record is from RefSeq and is a predicted model, not a curated record. The transcript has 4 exons.
AUUGUGGUGUCACUUUCUGCAUUGCAGAGCAAAUCCAUCAAACAUGGCCCCCACCACUGGAUUUAAAAAAAAUAUUUUAGUGUGUGUGUGCUGGGACGGGAUUAAGAAAAGAAAAAGGGGGUGGUGGGUGGGGGUUAGGAAAAAAAAUAAAAAAUCUGCCGCAGCCAUGCCCAUGACUUACAUCAGAUUGUAUUGCUUAAAAAAUUAACCGCUUGUGGUAGGGAUGGAAGUCAGUGAGAGGGGAUGCGAGCCCUUGUUGGGUACCGUUUCCGAUGGCAACCGAUCAAACGCUAACAUCGUUGCUAACAACAACGCAAUUGCUUGACAAGAUAGCGGCCCGAGGCCACUUGAAGUUGAAGUAUUCAGAAGCGAUGAAAUGCUGACAAGCUAGCAGUUGGUAUGCUAACGUAUUGCGACCCGAGUAACAACAAAAUCUCCAUGGCAGAUAAAUAAGAAUUUUACAUUCUGUCAUGUAAUCAGAUGCUAUUUCUAAUGAGGUGAUCCAAUGUUAACAUGCCAGCAGUUGCUAUGCUAGCAGAUGGCAACCCAAGCACAAAAAGCGCUACAAUGCCACUGAACGGGGAUUUUACCCCUCGCCGUGUACGCAGCCGGUGCUAUUUGUAACGGGAAGUGAUCAAAUGCUAACAUGCUAACAAGUGCAAUGCGAACGCAAGGCACCAAAGGACAGUGGCUGCAUUGUUGGCCGUCUAAUACAAAAGCUCAGGCUGCACUUGAAGACCAACACAGAAUACAGAAAUGUCAUUAGGACCAAUAGUGGCUGCAGUGUACACUUGUUACAUGAAAUUUAAUACCGGAAUGGGAGAAGGAUGUAUGAAAGGUAGGAAGGAAAGGAUGUUGGAAGGAUGGAAGGAAGGAGUAUGGUGCUAUGAAAAGGAGGUGGAAAGAAGGAAGGGACGGAGGAAGGAAUGGAGGGUUGAAGGAUGGAUGAAGGAAACGAGGGUGGUAUGCAAGGGAGGACGAAAGAGGGAAGAGUGGAAUGGAUAGAAGGAACAAAAGGAAGGAGUGGAAGAAAAGGGCAGAGGAAGGAAGGAUGGAAAGAAGAGUGGAUAGAAGGUAGAAAGGAUCGAUGCAAGGAAAGAAGGAAGGGAUGAAGUUAGAAGGGAUUGGAGGGAAGGGUAGAGGUAAUAUAGAAGGAGCGAAAGAAGGAAGGAAGGAAGCAAACAAGAAAGAGAGAGAAGGAGAAAAGAAAGACAGACAGAAAGAAACAACCAUGGUAUGAAAGGGAGGGAGGGUGGAAGACAGGAAGGGACAGAGGAAGACAAUGGAAGGAAGGUAUAAAAGAAGGGAGGAUGGAACAAAGGAAUGAAGGAAUGUGAAAGAAAGGAGGAGGCUCAUCGCCAGUUUUUGGCUCUCCACAGGCUAAAACCCAAAAUUGAAACCUCAACCUUUGUUUAAAACCCUAAAAAUGGUUUCAAACCAUGAUUGGUUAUGCAUGUCAUGACCACAUGUAACCACUAAGAGUCGCUGUUUAACAAAAGUUGCGUAGGAAAACAUCAGUGUGUCAACUACUUCCGGCAGGAAACCACAGAAGAAGAAUGCACACAUGGCAACAAUCGAGGAAAACGGACCGCCGACUCAUGACCAGCGUGACGCGUCGUCGUCGUUCCAGGCGAGGGAGAAGCUCCAGGGCCUGCUGAACAAGAACAUGAGGAUCCGUAUGACUGACGGCCGGACCUUGGUGGGCCUUUUCCUCUGCACGGACCGCGACUGUAACAUAAUCCUCGGAUCGGCUCAGGAGUUCCUCAAAUCCACGGACACUUUCUCCCAGGGUGAACCCCGAGUUCUGGGCCUGGCCAUGAUCCCGGGUCACCAUGUGGUCUCCAUCGAAGCCGAGGCGGACACGCUGGACGACGCGCAAGAUUUCGGAGUGAACCAUUCGGAAAUGGACCUUUGAUAGUGGAAGAAUGGCCGUUUUCUUUAGUUUUUUUUCUUUUUAAAUACCUUGGACAGCAGGGUGAAUAACUUAAAUUUGAUGUAUGUUAUUAAUGUCUUUCGGGUGGUAAACGUUGGGAGUCUAGCAAAUGUGAGUUCAUGAGGCUGUAUUCUCUUUGCAGAGUCAAUAACUUGAGUUAUCCCUGCAGGAAGAACUGAACUUCUGAAAGGGGACUCUUGCGCCGGAUUUGAAUGAGUGACGACCGUGAUUACCGGGGAGCUUACCCACAGCAGAGUGGUAGUGGGACAAGGCUUCAGCCAGCUGACCGGCUGCCAAAAGUUUGCGGCCCAUCUCCAAGUGAUGCUCAAUCUCGCCGCCAGUCGCCCCCAACACGCCUGGAACCCGUCGCGGUCGUGGUGAAUAAUCAAACACGCUCCCAACGAGCAUUAGACACAGCGACGUGUGCCGCCUUACCGUCCAGGAUGACACAAAGCAGCGACAAGGAGCACAGCACCCCGCCCGGUCCGGUCAAGCGGCCCCAGUCCAUACCGGCGACGGUUGAUCAAUUCACGUAAAACGACGUGGAACUCAUUGAAACGCUAUCCUGCCAUGAAAGCGUUCUCCCGACUGGAAUUGCUCGGAGGAAACGACGAGCCGAGUUUACGGUCCGGCUGUGCCAAAGUUCCGUGUGAAAACGCAAUGCUCGGCAGGAAGGUUCCUGCACGAGACCUGGCGCGUUUAACGCAACGUUUCGCAUCAGGAAAAAAAUAAAUAAAUAGUAACUUCGA